ACUAUGCUACCAGCUUAUGGAAUCUGGCAGAUAGAUCAACAUUGCAAAACUCUUGUUAUUACUUGAUUUCAUCGACCUAAGGUCUUGGCUUGAAGUGAGCAGUAUGUGUAUAUAUAUCUGAGAUCCGUGGAAUCCAAGUCCCAUAUCUAAUAUUCCACUGACCUGUAAAAUGGGUCAGUUUAAUCCAUACAAAUUUCUGCUCAUUAUCUUCCUUCUUUUCUCUAUUGCCAAAUCACCGUCAGCCGGAAAUGAACGUAGGACCUACAUCAUCCACAUGGACAAA
Molecule: unclassified non-coding RNA, 283 nt
Filed under: Hevea brasiliensis (rubber tree)
Lineage: Eukaryota; Viridiplantae; Streptophyta; Magnoliopsida; Malpighiales; Euphorbiaceae
Source: RNAcentral